RNAcentral lists this ribosomal RNA (254 nucleotides) under uncultured bacterium. RNAcentral's name for it is "partial 16S ribosomal RNA". It matches the Rfam family "Bacterial small subunit ribosomal RNA", at positions 524 to 776 of the family's 1533-position model. The record is from RNAcentral.
UACAGAGGGGGCAAGCGUUGUUCGGAAUUACUGGGCGUAAAGAGCUCGUAGGCGGUUUCGUAAGUCGGAUGUGAAAACUCAGGGCUCAACCCGGAGACGCCAUCCGAUACUGCGAUGACUUGAGUCUGGUAGGGGAUCACGGAAUACCUGGUGUAGCGGUGAAAUGCGCAGAUAUCAGGUGGAACACCGAUGGCGAAGGCAGUGAUCUGGGCCAGUACUGACGCUGAGGAGCGAAAGCGUGGGGAGCAAACAGG